Molecule: ribosomal RNA, 553 nt
Filed under: uncultured archaeon
Lineage: Archaea
Description: bacterial SSU rRNA
Rfam family: Archaeal small subunit ribosomal RNA
Source: RNAcentral
CGGGGUGCAGCAGGCGCGAAAACUUUACAAUGCUGGCAACAGCGAUAAGGGGACCUUGAGUGCCAGGAUACAAUCCUGGCUGUCGUGAUGCCUAAAAAGCAUUAUAUAGCAAGGGCCGGGCAAGACCGGUGCCAGCCGCCGCGGUAACACCGGCGGCUCGAGUGGUAACCGCUAUUAUUGGGUCUAAAGGGUCUGUAGCCGGCUUGGUUAGUCUCUUGGGAAAUCCGGCAGCUUAACUGUCGGGCUUUCAGGAGAUACUGCCAGGCUCGAGACCGGGAGAGGUGAGAGGUACUUCAUGGGUAGGGGUGAAAUCUUGUAAUCCUUGAAGGACCACCAGUGGCGAAGGCGUCUCACCAGAACGGAUCUGACGGCAAGGGACGAAAGCUAGGGGCACGAACCGGAUUAGAUACCCGGGUAGUCCUAGCCGUAAACGAUACUCGCUAGGUGUCGGCCACGGUGCGACCGUGGUCGGUGCCGUAGGGAAGCCGUGAAGCGAGCCACCUGGGAAGUACGGCCGCAAGGCUGAGACUUAAAGGAAUUGGCGGGGGAGCAC